UACAGAGGCCUCAAGCGUUGUUCGGAAUUACUGGGCGUAAAGGGAGUGUAGGUGGUGAUGCAAGUCAGAUGUGAAAGCCCUGGGCUUAACCCGGGAAUUGCAUUUAAUACUGCGUUGCUGGAGUGCAGGAGAGGUGAGAGGAAUUCCUGGUGUAGGGGUGAAAUCCGUAGAUAUCAGGAGGAAUACCAAUGGCGUAGGCAUCUCGCUGGCCUGUAACUGACACUGAGACUCGAAAGCAUGGGUAGCAAACAGG
Molecule: ribosomal RNA, 253 nt
Filed under: uncultured prokaryote
Description: partial 16S ribosomal RNA
Rfam family: Bacterial small subunit ribosomal RNA
Source: RNAcentral